GAUGUUAUGUGGUAAGAUAAAGUAAAACCUAAUAAGUUCCUAGCUCAUUAUUUAUGAUAAAGGAAAACCUGAGGAGUUUCUUUAUAAGCCGAGCACAUUUGUUAUUUAUGAAAAGAUGUCAUAAGGAACAUCUAUAUGUGCUGACCAAAUUCGUUAUAGGAAAUCACUGGUGACAAAUCCAUCUUAUGUGAAUUGUUUAUAAUGUGUAAACUCAUGUGACUGAUGCAUUGUAUUUGCAUAAACUAAAUAAUAUGAUAAAUUUUUUAGUUGGUUUACUCACUCAGCUUCCUUAAGCUUACCCCUUUCCCUUAACCCUACUUGAGGCCUUGUAGGAUUAGAG
RNAcentral lists this unclassified non-coding RNA (340 nucleotides) under Hevea brasiliensis (rubber tree). The record is from RNAcentral. Lineage: Eukaryota; Viridiplantae; Streptophyta; Magnoliopsida; Malpighiales; Euphorbiaceae.